GGCUUUUGCCCCUAUUAAUUCUCCGCCCAAAUCAGCAUCAUUAAGUCUGGUCAGUGGUGGAUACCUGUGGAGGGUCUCUGAACGUCUCAUGAUAAUCUGGAGCACCCAGGCCUCUGACGAACACUGAUGGAGACAAUCAAGGGCUGGUCCAGAACAUUCUCUCGGCAGUGCCUGGGCUCCAAGAAAGAGUGUGAAACACACAUGCACUUUUCCAAGCCUCUUCCUGCAGCACAUGUGCUGCUGUCCACAGACAAAAGCAAGUCUAUGGCCAAGCCCAGAGUCUGUGGGAAGAAAUUAACCAUAGGAACGGAUACAAUGAGGCCAUGUACAGUGCCUAUAUCGGUUUAUAGGAGCACCGCCCCACUGGAGAGACCCUGCCUUGGAGGCUGGGAGGUCGGAUGCGAGGGCCUCUCUGCCUGAUUCUGAGAUUCCUCAGGAUUUUUUUAUGCAAGAUUAUGAAAUUUACAAAUAGAGCAAUAUGCACAUACCUACAGAAACAUCUCUCAAAGGAAGAAUGAGCUCAAUCAAGUUCCUGAUCACCAACUCCGAACCCCUCCUGCCCUGCCAUUUGUGCAAAGAUAGAUUUGUAUUAUCUGCAUGGAUCCGCUAGUAGGUCUGGAAGAUCCAUGCACAGAAUUUCCAAUUUCCCAUAUUACUGCUACCCUUCAGCGCUAACCCUUUGGCUAUGUGGACUGACAGAGGCUCAUAACACAUCAUGCAGUCGGCCUUUGGUCUCUGCCGAACCAGCCCUUUGUCACCGAAUCCACUGGAGUGCAGAGGAAGACACGGUCAUUAUCCCAAACUCUGAAGAAGUAAGCCAAGAGCAUUUCAAAUAACUGAACAAUUUUCCAGAACAAUCCUCAAUCCUUUCAAGCCCAGACCCCCAAUGAAGAGACAAAUAACAUUCCAAGACAUGUGUCAGUAUCUUAUCUGUGUGCACACAGAGACACAGAAACUUCUAGCUCUGAAAGGAUCUUCCAGAUGUCAAAUGAACACGCUGACAGCCCAAUGGCAUCAUCCGAUUUUGUUGUCACAAACCUAUACAGUUUUCAUACCCAAUAAUAUAAACAUGUGUGUGUACAAACGCAUGAGCACAUAUGUAAGUACAUUUACAUAUGCAUACAUGUAUAUUUUAUAUAUGCACAUGGCAAAAUGUAUAAAUAUGAUAUCUAUCCAAAGCUGCUUGUUCUCUUUGGAGGACCCAGCAACAGACAGCAAAGUUGUGAUGUCUUCCUGACUCUGUAUUUCCCAUCAUUCCACAGGGCAUCUGCCCAUCUGACAGUGAAUCAGCAUUCUUGCCUCAGUGGCCAGGUAGGGCAGGGUCACCUGCAAAAUUAGAGAACUAAAGGAAAGAAGUCACAGUCAGAAUGACAGCAACUGAAGUCCUUCUUAAGAGCAUGUGAGGUCUCUCACCUCUCCAUUUGUUUCCUGUUUAAUAUGUGGUUUGGACAUUUUGAGGAAGAAAUCUAAUUUCAAAGUUGUCUAAAUAUGUUUAAUGACAAAUAUCAUGCUGUUUGAAAGCACAUUACUCUGAGUGACAUAUGUCUUCUGCACUACUUACUCGUAAGCCCAGAUCUUUUUUCUGUAACAAUUUUCUUUAAGCAGGAAAUAUUUUGCUAUUUCUGAAUAGCUAGCAGUUAUAUACUAUGGAAGCUAUGUACUACAGAAACUACAUACUCUAGAAACUAUAUCAUAAGUUUUGGCCCUGUGAAUUUAUGCAAAAUUAAUGACUGACAUAAAAUAGAUAAGCAACAGGGAUUUAUUGUA
Long non-coding RNA from Balaenoptera acutorostrata (minke whale), 1767 nucleotides. RefSeq lists it as uncharacterized. NCBI's taxonomy places the organism in Eukaryota, Metazoa, Chordata, Mammalia, Artiodactyla, Balaenopteridae. The transcript is spliced from 5 exons. The record is from RefSeq and is a predicted model, not a curated record.